Molecule: ribosomal RNA, 221 nt
Filed under: uncultured bacterium
Lineage: Bacteria
Description: partial 16S ribosomal RNA
Rfam family: Bacterial small subunit ribosomal RNA
Source: RNAcentral
UAUACAUCGGAACGUGUCCCGUAGUGGGGGAUAGCCCGGCGAAAGCCGGAUUAAUACCGCAUAUGCUCUACGGAGGAAAGUGGGGGACUCGCAAGGGCCUCACGCUAUGGGAGCGGCCGAUGUCCGAUUAGCUUGUUGGCGGGGUAAUGGCCCACCAAGGCGACGAUCGGUAGCUGGUCUGAGAGGAUGAUCAGCCACACUGGGACUGAGACACGGCCCAG